Molecule: ribosomal RNA, 266 nt
Filed under: Escherichia coli
Lineage: Bacteria; Pseudomonadati; Pseudomonadota; Gammaproteobacteria; Enterobacterales; Enterobacteriaceae
Description: partial 16S ribosomal RNA
Rfam family: Bacterial small subunit ribosomal RNA
Source: RNAcentral
UUAAAUUGAAGAGUUUGAUCAUGGCUCAGAUUGAACGCUGGCGGCAGGCCUAACACAUGCAAGUCGAACGGUAACAGGAAACAGCUUGCUGUUUCGCUGACGAGUGGCGGACGGGUGAGUAAUGUCUGGGAAACUGCCCGAUGGAGGGGGAUAACUACUGGAAACGGUAGCUAAUACCGCAUAACGUCGCAAGACCAAAGAGGGGGACCUUCGGGCCUCUUGCCAUCGGAUGUGCUCAGAUGGGAUUAGCUAGUAGGUGGGGUAAC